GACAAAAGAGCUCGACUUCCGUCAGCUAGUUUGCUAAACAUCGCAAAAUACAGGACCUGUACACCAACAACUUGUGAGCGGUGUGAAGGAUAUCGGAAACGAAUUCGUGGUGUUGGUGCGACGGAGUUAAGAAACCGUUUCUGACAACUGACAACAUCACCUCAGCAUGAACUUGCAGACUAUCGGCAAAAGAUGGCACCGCUCAUAUCAUUGGAGCUUGUCCCUUUAGGGGUUGCCACACAUCCUUUUCCCUGUAAGCCUAUCUCCUGCAUCCUCAUCUCGAACACCAACUGCCCUCAUCAGAAUCAGAAUCAGAAUCAUCUUUAUUUGCCAAGGUUGUCCAAAAAACACACAAGGAAUUUGUCUCCGGUAAUUGGAGCCGCUCUAGUACGACAACGGACAGUCAAUUGACAGAGAACACUUUUGAGACAUAAAGACAUUGAGAAAAACAGUCACUGAGCAAUAAAGGGUUGCUAGUUAUCUGGUAA
Phyllopteryx taeniolatus (common seadragon) is the source of this 488-nucleotide long non-coding RNA. RefSeq lists it as uncharacterized. The record is from RefSeq and is a predicted model, not a curated record. Lineage: Eukaryota; Metazoa; Chordata; Actinopteri; Syngnathiformes; Syngnathidae. The transcript is spliced from 3 exons.